This 397-nucleotide ribosomal RNA is filed under the name uncultured bacterium. Its description in RNAcentral is "bacterial SSU rRNA". It matches the Rfam family "Bacterial small subunit ribosomal RNA", at positions 32 to 413 of the family's 1533-position model. The record is from RNAcentral.
AAUCAACGCUGGCGGCGUGCCUAACACAUGCAAGUCGAACGCGAAAGGGGAGCAAUCCCUGAUUAGAGUGGCAAACGGGUGAGUAACACGUGGGUGACCUGCCUUCGAGUGGGGGAUAACCUUCCGAAAGGAGGGCUAAUACCGCAUGACAUACCGUGUUUGGAUACACGGAUAUCAAAGCCGGGGAUCGCAAGACCUGGCGCUUGAAGAGGGGCUCGCGUCCGAUUAGCUAGUUGGGGGGUAACGGCUCACCAAGGCUCCGAUCGGUAUCCGGCCUGAGAGGGCGGACGGACACACUGGAACUGAGACACGGUCCAGACUCCUACGGGAGGCAGCAGUGGGGAAUUGUUCGCAAUGGGCGAAAGCCUGACGACGCAACGCCGCGUGGAGGAUGAAG